UCCUUGGGGUAGAGGAUAGGGCUGA
RNAcentral lists this non-coding RNA (25 nucleotides) under Cricetulus griseus (Chinese hamster). The record is from RNAcentral. Lineage: Eukaryota; Metazoa; Chordata; Mammalia; Rodentia; Cricetidae.